Molecule: unclassified non-coding RNA, 347 nt
Filed under: soil metagenome
Description: partial contains 5.8S ribosomal RNA, internal transcribed spacer 2, and large subunit ribosomal RNA
Rfam family: 5.8S ribosomal RNA (bases 1-120)
Source: RNAcentral
GAUGAAGAACGUAGCGAAAUGCGAUAAGUAAUGUGAAUUGCAGAAUUCAGUGAAUCAUCGAAUCUUUGAACGCACAUUGCGCCCGCUGGUAUUCCGGCGGGCAUGCCUGUUCGAGCGUCAUUUCAACCCUCAAGCCCCCGGGUUUGGUGUUGGGGAUCGGCUCUGCCCUUCUGGGCGGUGCCGCCCCCGAAAUACAUUGGCGGUCUCGCUGCAGCCUCCAUUGCGUAGUAGCUAACACCUCGCAACUGGAACGCGGCGCGGCCAUGCCGUAAAACCCCAACUUCUGAAUGUUGACCUCGGAUCAGGUAGGAAUACCCGCUGAACUUAAGCAUAUCAUAAGCGGAGGA